AGCGCAGGCGGUUUGAUAAGUCUGAAGUUAAAGGCUGUGGCUCAACCAUAGUUCGCUUUGGAAACUGUCAAACUUGAGUGCAGAAGGGGAGAGUGGAAUUCCAUGUGUAGCGGUGAAAUGCGUAGAUAUAUGGAGGAACACCGGUGGCGAAAGCGGCUCUCUGGUCUGUAACUGACACUGAGGCUGAAAGCGUGGGGAGCAAACA
RNAcentral lists this ribosomal RNA (205 nucleotides) under uncultured bacterium. RNAcentral describes it as "partial 16S ribosomal RNA". It matches the Rfam family "Bacterial small subunit ribosomal RNA", at positions 568 to 774 of the family's 1533-position model. The record is from RNAcentral.